CUCUCUCUCUCUCUCUCUCUCUCUCUCUCUCUCUCUCUCUCUCCAUUCGAUUUUUUUUUUCUUUUUUGGUAAUAAUACUCUCCCUUUGAGUUGCCUCCUUUAUAUCUAUCUAUUUGGGUGUUGGAGUCGGUCAUGGUAUUUUAAUCCGUCAGUCCAUCACGGCUUUGGAGGAAAGUUUUUUUUUGGUGAGGAAAGUUCAGUUGUGAUGAAUGAUUCGACUCCAAUACUCUAUGACUGUGUGAGUGAGUGACUUCUUCAGUGAGUCGUAAGUAAGGUCCAUCCAAGUUAUUCCAAACUUAAAUCUUUUUCUUGUUGAGGCCACAAGCCGUAAGAGAUUGAAAAUUUGUGGAUCUGUCCAAAGCAGUAGUAAUCGACAUCCAAGGUUGACGAUGAAGCUUUUAUCGUGACUUGAUGAUGGUGUGAUUUCACUGACUCAUUAUUAUUAUUAUAAUAAUAAUGGAACUGCUACGCGGUUUCUGGGUCCCAAGGGCAACUGAAAUGGUUACAUAUAUGGUUCGUGGAUCCCAGGGAUAAAUGAGAUUAGACUCCACAGUGUCCACACAAAGAAGAUAAAUUUGCUGUCUACGUAUCAAGGUUGUUUAGAAAUGUAGAUUUCGUCUGUCUCCAUAAAACACUUUUCUUCCAGAAGUAGAUCCAGUAGUGUUUUCAAUAAAAAUCUCUGCGUUUGCGUUUCUAGGGGUGCAUGAGAAUUUCGAGGGCAUAUGUAUAUCAUAUAAAAAAGGAGGUAGGGAGUCCUAGGGAUGUGAAUGCCAUUACUUAAAAUUGAAAAACGCGUUUUCUUUAAUGCACUAGGAGUCUAGGACCGGUCCCCGUGCAACGCAUGGGCGACUUGUGAGAAUCCUUUAAUUUCUGGGUGCGCCAGGCUGGUGCAACGCAUGGGUGACGGAGACUGGAUCAGCUCCUCACGUGAGGACUGGUGGGAAUAGAUCUGGACCCUUCAUGAGUCUCGUAUGCCAAAUAACUGCCAAAUAACGGGUGGGGACAGGUCUGGACUCUGGACUCUCUAUUGGGUGUGGAUCUGGGUCCCUAUUUGGGGGAGCAAAUCCAAAUCCAAAUCCUGGUGAUGCAAUCAGAAUCCCUAACGGCAAAGCUACCGUAGUGAAUCCAAGGAUUUAAUAAUGGAAAAUUCACAGUACUACCCCUGGAUAAGAAUGUAAUGUCACUAUCAUAAAAACAUCACUUUUGUUUUCCUGAAAACGACUUCCAUAGAACCAAGUAAAACCACUGGGCUCUAAAGUAAAUCUAUCUUUUUUUCUCUUGGAUUCAGCCGUCAAAGACAUGGGUGUGGGAGAAAGAAUCCCCAGCGCACUUGGUGAUGUGAUUCUUAUCUAAACUUUUAUUAAUGAAUGGGUAGAGUUUUCCUACAAUCUAUGGUGAAGAGGAAUCUCUACAUUUCUCCCGUUAGUACCAUUAGGGGUUGUUACGAGUGGACUGGUGAAAGAAAACGCUGCCUCCGUUUGCAGAUUUGGGAGUUUUCUUCGCUCCUUAAGAUGAACCUGUAACUUGGGGAUGGUUGAACUUGAACCCCACUACAAAGAGAGAGAGGGAGGGAGAGGAAACAACCUCUCUGCAAAGCAACAAGGUAAGGCAGCAUAAUUGUAACCCCUCCCUAGACUCUGCAGUGGUGGAAACUUCGUGCAUUAAGUCAAUAUGCCCUUUUUGUUUUGAAGAUCCUGGCAUUUCUCUUAAGCUGCAACUCAUCAUUUAGAUGCAACAGAUGAGUAAGGUCGAAGGAGAAGUUUUAUUCAUCCUAAUAAUUACUAAACCUCAUAAUGAGGCUUAAUCUUCCCUUCAAUAUUCUGAUCCGCCAUGGACAAAUCAGAUCUCACAAUCAAACUAUGAAGGUCCAUAUCACGACAAGAAGGUACACUUUGGCCUCCAGAAACAGAGUUGACGCAUCAUCAUUCAAAUUCAAACUACCUGAAGGAGCGUGGACCCAACAAGUCUCACAUAAGCUUGAACUAACUUUAAGAUGAUCAGUGGAUGAAAUAGGUGGAUUCUCUCACAGGUAGACUGAAUGUUGACGCAGUUGAAGCUCCUUCUCUUGGGACAACUGAGAAAAGUUGCCUCUUCUGGGGCCUUACAAAUUCUGCAAAUAUCUCCCACCGAAUGACACUGAUAGGAUAUCUACUGAGAGGCCACAAUGUAAAAUCAAGAUUAGCUGCAAUUGAUUUGCCUGCAUUUGAAAUAGGGGCAGAACUUCUCUGGUGUGGCAUGGUGUGUUGUCAUUGGAUGAACACUUGCAGUCUUGAUUUUUAAUGGGCCGAAGAAUUUGGGUUCUCCAAAGCAUAUAAUUCAACCAUAAGCGAACCAAAAUCUCCACCCUUUUUAGGUUUGCACUCAAGGAAGAAGAGGACGCCUUUGGGGUAAACUUUUUCUCUCAGAUGCCAUAAUUUCAAAGCAAAAAGGAGAGCAAAUUUGGGAUUUCUCAAGGAGAGAGUAGAGAGAUAUCCUUGCUAGUACAUAAGUGAAGAAAUUCUACAUUAUUUAUGUCAAGGAGAGGUAUUUAGUCUUUGCAAGAGAAUAAUAAAAGAAAAAAGAGCCUAAGAUUUUAGUGGGAACAGUUUCAUAUUCAA
Macadamia integrifolia is the source of this 2597-nucleotide long non-coding RNA. RefSeq lists it as uncharacterized. NCBI's taxonomy places the organism in Eukaryota, Viridiplantae, Streptophyta, Magnoliopsida, Proteales, Proteaceae. The transcript has 2 exons. The record is from RefSeq and is a predicted model, not a curated record.